Molecule: long non-coding RNA, 8596 nt
Organism: Equus caballus (horse)
Lineage: Eukaryota; Metazoa; Chordata; Mammalia; Perissodactyla; Equidae
Source: RefSeq, a predicted model, not a curated record
GCGACAACUCUGAACAACUUACCUUCGAACCUCCGCGCACAGACAGGCCAGGCCCCAGGGUGGUCCCGCUCUCUCUCCUCCUGUGUCUCCACCUUCGGUGGCUCCCGGCCUCCCUCCUCCCUGCCCGGGCCCAGGUUAGGGGAAAACAGCAUUCUCUGUAGAGUGUUGGUACCAGGACACUUUGAAAAGGCUGUCUGUGUUUGGAGGUGAGGACAGCAAAGAGAGGAAGAGCGUCAUGGGAGAAACAAGAGAAUGCUUCCACUUCUCUUCGGUGCCCAUAAACGGACUGGGGAAGCCUGGAAGAUGCUUCUCUGAGUGCUGAAAGCGCAGAGUGAAACUGUGACACACCACGAGGAAGAGAAGAAACUCCCGUCAUGCACUCCCCUGGGAAUGGUCCUUGUUCGAAGGGUCCCUGGCGCUCAAACACCAGUGGCAACUCUCUCCACAACUUCUCAGUCGUGCAGCCCCUGCUGGGAUGGAGGCAGGAGAGAAGAAACACUCAGGCUCCCAGUGUCGAGUCCUGCCCUUCAGUUACUCCAGUCCCUCAAGCUUUGAAGCAAAAACUGUGGCGAUGCAGGCAGUUCCCAGCCGACUUGCCCCUAGACGAAGCUGAAGAGUCGCCGGUUGCUUCUUCUCCACUGCUUGGUGGGCAGCUUCUCAUCCAGAGGGGCUGCAAGACCCAGGCAGAUGCCAGAAGCCAUCACCGCCCUCCUCCUCCACUCCCCACUCAGCCCCUGGUCCUGCUCCACUAGUGCGGGUGCCCCUUCCUUCGAGCACAGGGUCAAGAUGUGGAGGAGAGCCUGCGUGUCUUCAUGUCAGUGAAGGCAGGGCCUCAGGUCCAUGCCGGCCUUUUGGGUUCCCUGUGGAAACAGUCUUUGUCCCACUGGGCACUUUGCUCUUAUCUUAAGAUAAUGAAAAAGCAUGACAAGCAAGACCCUUCUGAAAGCUCACCAUGGCUCUCCUGGAAGGGUAAGCUGACUUGUUCUUCACCUUCCCCAGGAGACCCUCUCAAGAAACUGGACUGAGCUUGGUGUGGCUCAACCUAGUUUGGGUUGUUGAUGCCUAGAGCAGAGGCUGAGAGUGAACCCCAGUAUCCAUUCUCUUCUUCUGCCAUAGUAAUAGAAUCUUUAGUUGGGCAAAUGGCCACCCAGAAUAAAGACUAUAUUACCCAGCCUUUCUGCAGGUAGGGAUGGUCGUGUGAACUAAGCUCUGAUUAAUGAGAUAUGAGAAGUGUCAUGCCCUUCAAGCAAAGGGGCAUGCCUUUCUCCUCUUCUUUCCCCUUCUCAUUGGCUUGACCAUGGAUUUAGUGGUGGGGGUGAGCUCUUGGGGACCAAGUGGUUGAUAGCAACACCCCAAGGAUGGUGGAGCAACAACUUGGAAGGAAUCUGGGUCCCUGAUGACACCAGAACCUAUGUCCUAGGCAUGUAAUAUUCUACAAGACUUCUAUUUGACUUUGAUUUGAUUGCCUUAUUGGGAUUUUCCUGCUAUAAUUGCAUCUCAAACCCCCUUCCCCCACAAGAGCUUUAGGUAGGAGAUAGGUUUUCCCCGAAGAUUGUGAGCAUUUCCGUUACUAGCAAUCUUGAGACGAGCUCAACCAUAGGAAGGAUUUGAGGACUAGGACAAGCCUUAGACCAAAAUGGGAGAAUAAGAUCUUCCUCUCUUGGGGCCUCCUGGAUAGGGCCAGGACCCUAUAUAGAGGGCAUGUCCUCUGUGAGGAGGUGAGCUAGUCUAAGAGAAGAAGUUGUAGGCUGGGACUCCCUGAAGAUGGGCUAGUUCUAAGCUGGAAACAGACAAGCGAAGGGGAGCCGGCCCCUGACUGGCACUGAGGCUGACAAGGAAGCUAAAGCCAUGAGACCUUGAUAACCCAUGAGACAACCUCUCUCUCUUUCUCUCUCUGUCUCUCACACACACACACACACAGCAGAAACGUCAGCAUUCUGGGUUGCUCUCAGGCCCUUUGAGGGAGCUUAAUUUCUGGCAAUAGGUGGGGUUCAAGCCCUCACACUCUGACUAUUUUAAAGGAAAUAUUAACUGGCAUUUGGGCUGGAGGCAGAGGGAGGUCCAAGGCUAACGACACCUGAGAAGGAGGUAAUGUUUGUCUUCGACUCCUUGUCAUUAAUCACUUCCCUUCGUCGGCUCUGGGUGCCCUUCUUUCAGGGUACCAUCUUCCCAAGAGACUCCUCUCACAGAGGGGGUUGUUUCGCCUCCUCACUGGCUCCACCCCUCCAGGCCUUCCACUGUGACUGCCACCAGGUCCUUUGUUCCCCUUGACCCUUUCCUGCCCCAGAUCUGGCCAACUGUCCGCCGUCCGCAUGCUCUCUGCCUCCUCUGACACACUCCUGGGGCUGGUAAGGGAGACACAGAAAUGGAAACUGAAGCCACUUGCCCAAGGCCACAAGGCUAGUAAGUGGUGCAGCUGGGACUUUACCCCAUGCAGUCUAACUCCAGGCUCUGGGCUCUGACCUAAAUGGUCCAGACUUUAGAGAUCAUCUUUCCCUUAACAAACAAAGAAAAUGACUCAAGUCCGUCUCCCACAUCCUGUGGGAAGUCCAGCAGCUUCCCCAACAUUUCCAAGAAUUUCUGGGUGGUAGUGGUUGACUUAUAUUCUCUUGGUUAUUCCCACUUAAAUUCUUGAUCCCUUUAAGUUCUCUUUUUCCUCCAGCAUCUGCUGUCCUCUGUCCCCUUCCCUCACCCAGUGCAAGAGCACCGUCUCUCCCCCAUAUUCCCCAAAGCACACCUAAGCCAAAACUGUUCUUAAGGACUAGAAAUAUUUGGUGAUAGCAGAGGGUCACCACACCAUGGCAGAGCUCAGCAAAGACCUGCAAAUUCAAAAUGGGGCAUGACCAUUCUGCAGGUUCACUCCUACAUUUACAGGGAUGGGGCAGGAGGACUAACAGAGGCCCAGUUCUCACUCUCUCUCCCACGCUUUGCCUGACACCAGCUCCAUCCUGCCCAUGAGGGACCUGCUGUGUGAACACCCCAGCCCACGUUUGAACUCUGUAGCACCCCCUUUGGGAAGAGGCCUGCAUAAGAUCAGGGAAUUCUGUGGUCCCAAAGGAGGGGAGAGGCUCAGUGUGGACACACCCAUUGGCCCCAUGCAGUGCUGGGCUGGCUAGCAAAGGCUCCUGAGGGAGGAAUCAGCUCUUCCUAACUCCACUUUCACUGGCAUCACACUGGUAGCUUGAAAUCAGCUAUGAUGUGGUGAGAAUAUUUACACAAUGGGACCUGGCAAACAUUGCAAUCUACAAAUCAGGGUUUUUUUCCUAGAGAGCCUGUUUAUCAGUACAUCACUGGCCCACAGACACCUCGCCCUGCGCAUAGGAGCAUAGCUGGAAAAAGGCCAGAUGGGAGCCCUCCAAGGCGGCGGUUCUCAGAUUUUGCUGCAUAUUCGAAUCACCUGAGAGCUCUUGUGGGGGGCUGUCAGUAUUUUAAGUUUCCUAGGUAAUUCCAAUGUACAGCCAAAGUUGCAGGCCAAUGCUCUAAAACAUCUCUUAUCAAAAUUUAGUGUCCAUAUAAAUUGUUUGGGGAUCUCUUCAAUGACAGAUCUGGUUUAGUAAGCCCAGACGAGCCUGGGAGUCUGCACUUCUGUCUCAGGUGAUACUGAUGCUGCUGUUCUGUGGCCCACAGUUUGAGCAGCCAGGGUCUAAAGCACAGGACCCAAGGGUGGCACUGCUAUUCUGAGGAUCCUCAGCUUUGCCUGUCAAGGAGAAUUUCUCACUGGAGGUACUUUCUCCUUAAGCCCUGACCCCAGCCAUUUUUUGGAGCCUGUGCAGAUGGACAGCUUUCACCCUAUUCUGGGUAACGGGACACCAGUCUCUCUUGGUGCUUGGGGAAAACCCCCAAAUUCCUGCCGUCUCAUUAUGCAGAUCACUUGAGUUCUCCUUCCAGACUGUGCUGGGAGGCUCACCGUUCGUAACCAAACAGGUGUUUUCCUAAACAAUCAAGCCAUUUUCCUUUGGCUUCCCCUGCACACCCAUCGCACACCUCCAGAAUUCAGACACACGCCUGCAGUGAUUUAUUUUUUGUAUCAAUUGCUUUCCUCUUUACAUGGCAAAGACUAAGGCUUAGUGAUAAGGGCCCUGAUGCGGGUAUAAACACCCGUGCAGAGCAGGCUAUGAGGCCUGGGAACAAGGCAGGAGGUGCAGAAGAGAGGCCGCACCGAGGAGCCCAGAGGGGAAUCCCUUAGUCACACAGGCUGCGUCCCCAGACCCUUAGCGAAGAGAAACACAGGACUUGUCUUGGAACCAGAAUGCUGGUGAGUCUUUCAGUUUUUUGUGUAAAAGUGUAACUAGAGACUGAUAAAACUACUCCUAAUUCUUCCCGCAGUGCAGGUUCGGUCACUUCAGCAAAGCUGUUGUUGCUUAAAGCCUUGAUUAAAGAAACUCCCCUGUGUUUCUCUAGAUGGCUCUCUGGACAAGGUGACCCUAUCUGAGCAGCAGAAUCAAGGUUCUGACACCCACAGUGGCCUUCCUGAGGCCGACAGCACUUUACAAGGUCCUGUGGCAGUGUGGGGUGGGUCUGUCUGAGCAAGUUCACGUGCCAAGGCCAGUCCUUGCUCCUCAUCGCUCAGGGCUGACCUGCCCCAGAACGACUUGCUUGGGGAUGUUCCUUGUAGUGAUGGGAAGUUAGGUCUAAUCUAAGCUGCCCUGGUGUCCCCCACUCCCCGAGACCCACUCAGUUCUGUUUCACAGGCUGUGCAUUUUUCUCGUCUCUGAGAGGGUGAGUCUUGGUUUCCGGCCUGUUGGAACGUUUCCUAAGCAGGGCUUUCCUGCCUGCAUGUGACUCUGGGCUUCGCUCUCAUUCUUCCUAUUUGCUCAGAGGGCCAAUAUCACAACUCCAUUGCACUUAACAGAUUUUAGCUGAAGGUUUAGGGACAGUGGAGGGGAAUUAUAGCCCAGGGCAGACCAAGUAAGAUUAUUAGAGCAAUUUAGAAGCAACUAUGAGGCAUUCUAGCUUCACUGGCCAUCUUUGUCUUGGCGAAUAUCUCAUUGGCCAUCUUUUACCUUAGGAUCCCCUGACCUGGGUGGUAUAGAGCUUGGUCCCCUCUCUCCAGAGACCCCUUCUCUCCCUCCUUUCAGGGCCCUAGACCCCCGUCUCAGUACCACCAGGGAAGACAAUAUUCUUGCAACUUUAUCAGGCAGUACCAUCAAGUUCCUUUGCUUGGUGGUAACUUUCUCCUUCCUGACCAGUGAAAGGAAUCUCACCUUUCACAGCCAACCAUGAUCCAUCAAGGUCAUUCCAAAAACAGGCAUCUACCACUGAGAUCAAUACUAGUCCCUAAACGCCAAAAGUGAUCAUCAUUUUAUCUUUUUGUAAUGAUUUUUUUUCUUUCUGUUACAUCAGAAAUUUUAGAAAUAUUAAAAACAAGUUAGGAAACAGUUUGGCAAUUCCUCAAAUAGAAACGUAUCCCCCAAAGUACUGGAAGCAGGGACUUGAACAGAUAUUUGGACACACAUGUUCAUUGCAGCACUAGUCACAGUAGUCAAAGGGUGAAAAUAAUCCAAAUAUCCAUCAACGGAAGAAUGGGUAAACAAAAUGUGUUAUAUCCAUACAAUGGAAUAUUCAGCCUUAAAAAGGAAUGAAGUAUUGAUUCAGGUUACAACAUGCAUGAACCUUGAAAACAUCAUGCUAAGAGAAAUAAGCUAGACGUAAAAGGACAAAUAUUGUAUGAUGCCACCUAUACGAGGUUCCUAGAAUGUCAAAUGCAUAGAAAGAAAUCAGAAGAGAGGUUACUAGAGGCUGGGAGAGGAGAGAACAGGGAGCUAUCAUUUAGUGGGUCAAAGUUUCUGUUUGGGAUGAUGGAAAAAUUCUAGAAAUUGAUAAUGGUAAUGGUUGCACAACGUUCCGAAUGUACUUAAGGCCACUGACUUAUACGCUUGGAAAUGGUUAAAAUGGUAAAUUUUGUGUUACGUAUAUUUUACCUCAAUAAAAAAAUAUUAGGAGUCUUGGCUCUUUCAUCUUCUACACCCUCAGGCAAGACCCUCCUCCAUACAAGUCCCUGGGGGGCCCUAGAGGCGAGAGGCGGGGCUGAGGGCAGGGUUAGCUGGUCCUUGCAGCACAGCUGUGUCUAUAAAGCAAGAGGGCUGUUUUUCAGAUUCUGCUUCUCUUUGGGACUCAGCAUCAAUGCUUGGCUCACCGGACCCAUUAAAAUGCUGAAGAAGGAAUAUGAAAAAGGUAUACCACACAACAUGAAGAGACCUGGGGAUCAGGAUCAGGGGACUGUGGGAGAAGGAGGCCUGAAGGUGAUAACGUCCUGUCUGAAGGAGCUAAUGCACACCCGGGGAGCAGCCCAGCUCCGUUCAAUGAAAUAAAACGUCCAGAGCUGUUCUCUUCAUGUUUUAUAUGGCAACAGACUUUUAUGUGUGAUUAAGAAACAAAAUAACAAAGGGAGGAAUGUACUGAGCUUAUCAAAGUACAAUAGUUGCUGCUUCACCAGAAAAACCAGUGCUUUCCUUCUAUUCUGGUGCUGUUAAGCUGACCCUGGGGAAUGAAAGACGCUUUGCUCUGAAAUAAAGAUUAACACUUAACAGCUAUAGUCAGCCCAUGGCAAAACUGUGAAAUAGGCAAAAUUUGUCAUUAGGACUUUUCCAUCAUCCCUUGCUGAGUAUUUCUUCGUACUGUCCCGUCUCUCAGCUCCAAGGCACUUACUGCUCUCUAGGUGCCAGGGAAACAAAACAAAGUAUUUCACACCAAAACGUCAUUGACUUCUGAUGAAUUUUACCCCAAGGGCAUUUGCAUUCCAUAUCACUCUGGAUCCAGUCAAGAGAGAGAAACUACGUGGUAAUAUAGAUAGGGAAAAUAUAAUAUAAAGAACUAUUAACUGGUAACAGGGGAUUAAAGUAACACAGAGUUAGUAAGAAGUCAAGAGAGCUCUGAAGAAUAUAGGAAUGGCAGAUGAGGAGCCACAGCUACGCUUAGGGCUGAGAAAGUAAUGGAGGAAGAGGCCUCCUGGGUUCAGAUCCAGACCUUGUUGAAGAGGGCACAGCUGUGGCUCACUGGAUGGCAGAGAAGGUGCUGUACUGGUGGAACUUGCUGGAAAGCUGACCUCUAGGGUGUCAGGGAAAGUUGAUCACAGGGACAUGUCUCACCAGAAAUACUCUGCUGCAAAACCACCUGAGGUAGGGAAGUGCCAGGGAAUCUGCUGGUCACUGUGCACUAGAGGAGCUGGGCACUGGAGAAGCUGCCAGUGCUGCAGAGCCUGGCAAGCCACAGGAGGCUGCCGAGCAAGCAUAAGGGAACCAGGACAAAAAAACCCUUCUCCUGCAGUGUCUCUCCAGCAUCCUCUGUUGACAAAGCGUAACAUCGUGCCAGCUGCAAAGGCAAAAUAUUUAAAGGGUACAGGUCCAUUUUUGAAGAACAGGCAAUGAAGGAAGAGUUUGGAGGCGAUAAGUUGAUAACUGGGACACAUUUUAACAGAGAAAGAGAAGAUCAAGACAGUGUUGAACCCAAUGGGCUGUUUCUCUAAUGGUAAAGUUCCAGAAUAGUCAGGCUAGAGAAGGUAUUUUGGAGCAGGAGAGCUUUCUAACAGUCUAGAAAUCAAACUAUGUAGGUGACAUAAAUGUAUAUCAGGAUGGAAUGGGAUUAUUAAGUGUUCCUUCUAGGUAGGACACGGGUACUAUUAGGCCCUAAACUCCUAGUUCAGGUUCACCACCAUUCCCAGAUGUGGCUGUGACAGCUAGAUUCUCACCAAUUCAAUUUCUUUCAAGCACAUGAGGAGACAUUCCCCAGACUCCUUGCUUCUAGAUGAAAUGUGCAACAUGUUCCGGUUGAUGAAAUGUGAGAAGAAGUAAUAAAUGCCACUUCCAGAUCCAGCCUCUAAAAUGUCCCAUUAGACUGUCAGUUCACUGUCCCUCACUGAUGGCCAGAUGAAGGCAGGGGAUCCAGUAGAGGGCUUCAUAGAAGCUCUAAGGGAUGGUGGUGCCACCAGACGAAAAGAGCCUGAGCCACAGCUCAGAGGAGAGAUGCUCAACCCACAUGAGACUAGAGUGUGACUAAAUUGUAUUAAGCCUCUGCAACUUCUGAGACUUUUGUUACUGCAACUGGUGUUAAUUUCCCUGACUGAUACACAGAGCAAAUUAGACCCCUGGGAUAGCCUCAAUCUUAAACUGAAAUAGCAGCGAGAGAGUACCCAUCACUCAUUUUGUUUGAGGUUGUCAAAACAAGGAAGCUAGAUCAUAUAUUCUCUUUGGAUCUAUGUGUCAUAAGUGUGGGAUAUCAGAGUCCCAAAAUAAUUUUCCAUGGCCCACGGUGGAGGGCAAAGCCUGGCAGCUAGGUUUGCCUACUGAACAGAACAAAGACUUAGGGUGAACAUCAAGGUGUUCUUUUCUACCUUCUGGGAGUUAGGUGUUGGUACAAAUAGGCUUGACAUGGAGGUCCACACUUGGUCUCAGUGCACAAGGCCACUUGUCCUGGUGCAAGAAGCGAGUCCUUUCCCACCACAGCUCGGCCUUGGCCCCAUCAGGUAGCUCCACUCCUGGUCCACACUGCGUGUCCCCGGAAGAGCCCUAAGGUCUGGGCUCCACUCCUCUCUCCAUUAUUCACUCAAGAGCGGAGGCAAAUUUGGUCCCUUCUACAAAUAUUUAAAAAAUGCAUUGUC